GCUUGUGGCAUGUGGCCUUACCGGUAUGGAGUUACCUCAAUGAAAAAACGCUUGUUAUCAAGAGAUUAUACAAGUACAGCUGAUGUGGAAUCAAGAAUUUAUGUUGAUACAAAUGCCAUGGAAUAAAAAUCAGCUUUGAAGACUUGGCUGUAGGCUGUAUAGGAAAACUUGAGAGGAAGGUGAAAUUCUUGAGAAAAACUAGCCCAUAUGAAUUCACAACAAAAACUUAUAUCCUACCCCAAGAAACAAUACAGGUUGGUCAUGAAGCAUGCUAAAAAUAAGUGCUUCAAUGCAGAGUCAACUAUACAACAACUAAUGACUCUGGUUAAUCAUAUAGCUAUUCCAUUCUUUGAAACUGACUGAAGGAAAGAAAAAGAUGUUUCUCCGUUUAGGAAUUAUUUAAG
Molecule: long non-coding RNA, 404 nt
Organism: Morus notabilis
Lineage: Eukaryota; Viridiplantae; Streptophyta; Magnoliopsida; Rosales; Moraceae
Exons: 4
Source: RefSeq, a predicted model, not a curated record